Molecule: unclassified non-coding RNA, 629 nt
Filed under: Nakaseomyces glabratus
Lineage: Eukaryota; Fungi; Ascomycota; Saccharomycetes; Saccharomycetales; Saccharomycetaceae
Description: [Candida] glabrata sequence contains 18S rRNA gene, ITS1, 5.8S rRNA gene, ITS2, 28S rRNA gene
Rfam family: 5.8S ribosomal RNA (bases 238-391)
Source: RNAcentral
GGNNNAUGCCANUUCNAGNNGCGNAANUGCNGUUGCGGCUGUCUGCAUGGNGNAGANAGCGACAANACUGGNNGUGUGCGACACACAGUGGAGUNACUNUACUACUAUUCUNUCGUUCGUUGGGGGCACGCUCUCUUUCGGGGGGGAGUUCUCCCAGUGGAUGCAAACACAAACAAAUAUUNUNNUUANACUNAUUCAGUCAACACAAGAUUUCUUUUAGUAGAAAACAACUUCAANACUCUUCAACAAUGGAUCUCUUGGUUCUCGCAUCGAUGAAGAACGCAGCGAAAUGCGAUACGUAAUGUGAAUUGCAGAAUUCCGUGAAUCAUCGAAUCUUUGAACGCACAUUGCGCCCUCUGGUAUUCCGGGGGGCAUGCCUGUUUGAGCGUCAUUUCCUUCUCAAACACGUUGUGUUUGGUAGUGAGUGAUACUCUCGUUUAUUGAGUUAACUUGCAAAUUGUAGGCCAUAUCAGUAUGUGGNGANNCGAGCGCAAGCUUCUCUAUUAAUCUGCUGCUCGUUUGCGCGNAGCGGCGGGGGUUAAUACUGUAUUAGGUUUUACCAACUCGGUGUUGAUCUAGGGAGGGAUAUGUGAGUGUUUUGUGCGUGCUGGAGCAGACNCACGUCUUUA